This 253-nucleotide ribosomal RNA is filed under the name uncultured bacterium. RNAcentral's name for it is "partial 16S ribosomal RNA". It matches the Rfam family "Bacterial small subunit ribosomal RNA", at positions 524 to 776 of the family's 1533-position model. The record is from RNAcentral.
UACAGAGGUCUCAAGCGUUGUUCGGAUUCAUUGGGCGUAAAGGGUGCGUAGGUGGCGGGGCAAGUCAGGUGUGAAAUCCCGGAGCUCAACUCCGGAACUGCACUUGAUACUGCUUUGCUAGAGUACUGGAGAGGAGAUUGGAAUUUACGGUGUAGCAGUGAAAUGCGUAGAUAUCGUAAGGAAGACCAGUGGCGAAGGCGAAUCUCUGGACAGUUACUGACACUGAGGCACGAAGGCCAGGGGAGCAAACGGG